RNAcentral lists this ribosomal RNA (492 nucleotides) under uncultured bacterium. Its description in RNAcentral is "partial 16S ribosomal RNA". It matches the Rfam family "Bacterial small subunit ribosomal RNA", at positions 29 to 507 of the family's 1533-position model. The record is from RNAcentral.
AUUGAACGCUGGCGGCAUGCUUUACACAUGCAAGUCGAACGGUAACAGGCCUUCGGGUGCUGACGAGUGGCGAACGGGGGAGUAAUGCAUCGGAACGUACCCAGAGGAGGGGGAUAACGCAGCGAAAGCUGUGCUAAUAUCGCAUGUGAUCUGAGGAUGGAAGCGGGGGACCGCGCAGCAAUGUUUGGCCUCGCGCCUUUGGAGGUGCCGAUGUCGGAUUAGCUAGUUGGUGGGGUAAAGGCCUACCAAGGCGACGAUCCGUAGCUGGUCUGAGAGGACGACCAGCCACACUGGGACUGAGACACGGCCCAGACUCCUACGGGAGGCAGCAGUGGGGAAUUUUGGACAAUGGGCGCAAGCCUGAUCCAGCAAUGCCGCGUGCGUGAAGAAGGCCUUCGGGUUGUAAACCGCUUUUGGCAGGAACGAAACGGUGUCCGCUAAUACCGGGCGCUAAUGACGGUACCUGCAGAAUAAGCACCGGCUAACUACGUG